This 72-nucleotide transfer RNA is filed under the name Bos taurus (domestic cattle). It matches the Rfam family "tRNA". From Rfam's summary of the family: Transfer RNA (tRNA) molecules are approximately 80 nucleotides in length. Lineage: Eukaryota; Metazoa; Chordata; Mammalia; Artiodactyla; Bovidae. The record is from Rfam by way of RNAcentral. RNAcentral also lists the same sequence under 2 other names.
UCCCUGGUGGCUCAGAGGGUAAAGCAUCUGCCUGCAAUGCGGGAGACCCAGGUUCAAUCCCUGGGUUGGGAA